RNAcentral lists this ribosomal RNA (468 nucleotides) under uncultured bacterium. RNAcentral describes it as "partial 16S ribosomal RNA". It matches the Rfam family "Bacterial small subunit ribosomal RNA", at positions 28 to 507 of the family's 1533-position model. The record is from RNAcentral.
GACGAACGCUGGCGGCGUGCUUAACACAUGCAAGUCGAACGGAAAGGCCCUGCUUUUGUGGGGUGCUCGAGUGGCGAACGGGUGAGUAACACGUGAGUAACCUGCCCUUGACUUUGGGAUAACUUCAGGAAACUGGGGCUAAUACCGGAUAGGAGCUCCUGCUGCAUGGUGGGGGUUGGAAAGUUUCGGUGGUUGGGGAUGGACUCGCGGCUUAUCAGCUUGUUGGUGGGGUAGUGGCUUACCAAGGCUUUGACGGGUAGCCGGCCUGAGAGGGUGACCGGCCACAUUGGGACUGAGAUACGGCCCGGACUCCUACGGGAGGCAGCAGUGGGGAAUAUUGCACAAUGGGCGGAAGCCUGAUGCAGCAACGCCGCGUGCGGGAUGACGGCCUUCGGGUUGUAAACCGCUUUCGCCUGUGGCGAAGCGUGAGUGACGGUAAUGGGUAAAGAAGCACCGGCUAACUACGUG